UCUAGUCCUGUCCGGCCCCCCUCCCCCCAGCUGGGAAAUGGGAUUGCCUUUGCUGCGAGCCUCUGGCUCAAAAGAUGGCGUUUAUGCAGAAGAAGCCUUUGUACUUCAAAAACUGUAACUAGAAGCCCAAGGGGAGCACAAAACACUCAAAGAUUGGAGCCACCAAAGUAGGGAAUGUGGUGGGGCGAGCUGACAAGAAAUGAUUUAAAGGACACACCUCAAGCUCACUUUAGAAACCAAGGUCUCCCUCCAACAAAACAUAGCUCUGUGUAGCUCGGGAUGGAGGCCCAAGACUCUGGGGGCCACCGGGCUGCACUCCCCCAGCCCCUGCAGGGAGAGAAGCCCUCCCUCCCAUGGCCUUAGACCUGACAAAGUCUUACACAAGUGCCAGAGGCUAACCAGGAAGAAAAAAGCAACCUUGUCUAAGUCAAGGGAAAAAAAUGAGAGAGAGAAAAAGGCUCACAAGUCAACACACUCAUUACAAGAAAAUGUCAAACACGCCCCACUUGUUUCUGACCCUCACACAUUUACAUACAGUCCAUAUUUCUUUAAGUUUAAAAAAAUGAAGGAUAAGGCUUGGAGAUCUUCUAUAUUACACAGAAGUUUGGAAUUUGGAAGGUCUGUUUCUUGGGUUUUUCUUUUGCUUUGGUGCAGUAAUAUUUGUUUUACAGAAAUCUGACAGGCAGAAACAGAAUGUCUUUUAGAAUCCCUAUCCCCAAACACGUCUAGUUCGAUAAGUAGUAAAUUAUAAAGAUAUCAAUAGAUGC
Long non-coding RNA from Perognathus longimembris pacificus (Pacific pocket mouse), 767 nucleotides. RefSeq lists it as uncharacterized. The record is from RefSeq and is a predicted model, not a curated record. The transcript has 3 exons. Lineage: Eukaryota; Metazoa; Chordata; Mammalia; Rodentia; Heteromyidae.